RNAcentral lists this ribosomal RNA (497 nucleotides) under uncultured bacterium. Its description in RNAcentral is "partial 16S ribosomal RNA". It matches the Rfam family "Bacterial small subunit ribosomal RNA", at positions 28 to 507 of the family's 1533-position model. The record is from RNAcentral.
GAUGAACGCUGGCGGCGUGCCUAAUACAUGCAAGUCGAGCGAACGGACGAGAAGCUUGCUUCUCUGAUGUUAGCGGCGGACGGGUGAGUAACACGUGGAUAACCUACCUAUAAGACUGGGAUAACUUCGGGAAACCGGAGCUAAUACCGGAUAAUAUUUUGAACCGCAUGGUUCAAAAGUGAAAGACGGUCUUGCUGUCACUUAUAGAUGGAUCCGCGCUGCAUUAGCUAGUUGGUAAGGUAACGGCUUACCAAGGCAACGAUGCAUAGCCGACCUGAGAGGGUGGUCGACCACACGGGAACUGAGACACGGACCAGACUACUACGGGACGCAGCAGUAGGGAAUCUUCCGCAAUGGGCGAAAGCCUGACGGAGCAACGCCGCGUGAGUGAUGAAGGUCUUCGGAUCGUAAAACUCUGUUAUUAGGGAAGAACAUAUGUGUAAGUAACUGUGCACAUCUUGACGGUACCUAAUCAGAAAGCCACGGCUAACUACGUG